UACGGUGGGAGCAAGCGUUGUUCGGAUUUACUGGGCGUAAAGGGCGCGUAGGCGGCCACCGCAAGUCGGUUGUGAAAUCUCCGGGCUUAACCCGGAAAGGUCAGCCGAUACUGCGGGGCUAGAGUGCAGAAGGGGCAACUGGAAUUCUCGGUGUAGCGGUGAAAUGCGUAGAUAUCGAGAGGAACACCUGCGGCGAAGGCGGGUUGCUGGGCUGACACUGACGCUGAGGCGCGAAAGCUAGGGGAGCGAACGGG
Molecule: ribosomal RNA, 254 nt
Filed under: uncultured bacterium
Lineage: Bacteria
Description: partial 16S ribosomal RNA
Rfam family: Bacterial small subunit ribosomal RNA
Source: RNAcentral